Molecule: transfer RNA, 68 nt
Filed under: Fundulus heteroclitus (mummichog)
Lineage: Eukaryota; Metazoa; Chordata; Actinopteri; Cyprinodontiformes; Fundulidae
Description: tRNA-Glu
Rfam family: tRNA
About the family: Transfer RNA (tRNA) molecules are approximately 80 nucleotides in length. Their secondary structure includes four short double-helical elements and three loops (D, anti-codon, and T loops). Further hydrogen bonds mediate the characteristic L-shaped molecular structure. tRNAs have two regions of fundamental functional importance: the anti-codon, which is responsible for specific mRNA codon recognition, and the 3' end, to which the tRNAs corresponding amino acid is attached (by aminoacyl-tRNA synthetases). tRNAs cope with the degeneracy of the genetic code in two manners: having more than one tRNA (with a specific anti-codon) for a particular amino acid; and 'wobble' base-pairing, i.e. permitting non-standard base-pairing at the 3rd anti-codon position.
Source: RNAcentral
GUUCUUGUAGUUGAAUACAACGGUGGUUUUUCAAUUCAUUAGUCCUGGUGAAAGUCCUGGUGAGAACU